RNAcentral lists this microRNA (21 nucleotides) under Medicago truncatula (barrel medic). RNAcentral describes it as "mtr-miR2646b". Lineage: Eukaryota; Viridiplantae; Streptophyta; Magnoliopsida; Fabales; Fabaceae. The record is from miRBase by way of RNAcentral.
CAUGACAUUUAGUGAUGAUGU